GCUAAAAUGUUACAACUAUUUCAAACAUAAGUGACUAUUUUGAUAGUUUAUCCAAAUCUGAAAAUGUUUCGUAGUUUUUUCUUUUUCUUUAAAGAAGGUUUUUUUUUUUAAAGAAGUUUUUAAAGAAGUUCAACUUACAUCAAAUAUCUUCUUUUAUUUUGAUAUAAACGAACAGUAAAGCAAAGAAAAAAAAAGGCACAGCAAUGGCAGAUCCAGUUAAGAAGAACAUGUUGAAAGAAGAAAUCAUUACUUACGCUUACCUCAUUCUCUACAUCGCUCUUUCCAGCGGUCAAAUCUUCUUCAACAAGUGGGUUUUGUCAUCAAAGGAAAUCAAUUUUCCGUAUCCCCUUGGGUUGACUCUGCUUCACAUGGUCUUCUCUUCUGUUUUAUGUUUCUUACUCACUAAAGUCUUCAAGAUUUUGAAAGUUGAAGAAGGAAUGACGUUAGAAAUAUACACGACAUCUGUGAUCCCAAUUGGUGCCAUGUUUGCAAUGACUCUUUGGCUGGGAAACACUGCCUACUUGCAUAUAUCAGUGGCAUUUGCACAAAUGCUGAAGGCAAUUAUGCCAGUAGCUGUUUUCAUCCUUGGAGUAGCAGCAGGACUGGAGGUAAUGAGCUGCAGGAUGCUUUUAAUAAUGUCAGUGAUAAGCUUUGGUGUUCUGGUGGCUUCUUAUGGAGAAAUAAAUAUUAGCUGGAUUGGAGUUGUUUACCAAAUGGGUGGUGUUGUCGGAGAAUCUUUAAGACUUAUAUUCAUGGAGAUUCUGGUUAAGCGAAAGGGUCUCAAGUUAAACCCUAUAUCUAUCAUGUAUUAUGUUAGUCCUUGCAGUGCUCUUUGUCUGUUUAUUCCUUGGAUCUUUCUGGAGAAACCGAAAAUGGAUGCCCAUGGGAUGUGGAACCUUCACCCUGUUGUGUUAACGCUGAACUCUCUCUGCACCUUUGCACUCAACUUGUCAGUUUUCCUAGUGAUCUCACACACUAGUGCUCUAACCAUUCGCGUUGCUGGAGUCGUCAAGGAUUGGGUGGUUGUUUUAGUAUCGGCCCUUCUCUUUGCAGAUACAAAGUUGACAGUCAUAAAUUUAUUUGGCUAUGGCAUAGCCAUUGCUGGUGUGGCGGCAUACAAUAAUCACAAGUUGAAGAGGGAAGCAAUUCGCAAUAUCUCUGAUGACUCCCAAGCUGCCCUGACCAUACCGACGGCUACAUCAUCGAAUCUGAACAGAUAGUUAUGUACAACUCUAAUCUGUAAAGAUGAUGUUGAAAGUAUAAAUAAUUGCACAAAUCACAGCUACUUGGAACCGCCAAUUAUUCGGGGGGGGGUACAUUGUUGUGCCACUAUCGAGCUGCUGCGCCGGUUGUUAUAUUUGGAGAAAGUGACCUUCUGAGAUAAGGUGAAGUAGAAAAUCUGCAAAGAAAUACUUGGACUGUUUUAAACUGUAGCGUUAUGAGUUUUUGGUUUUGUUAUGUCUUAACUGUACAUUGCUGGGUGGGAUUAGAGGUGUCCAUUCUCAGGUUGGCUUUGUUUGCCCAAACUUGAUUAGAUUUUAAAGCUCGUUUUAUUGUUUUAAAUAUAUGAAAAGGUCAUUUUAAUAAUAAUAUUAUUAUUAUUAUUAUUUUAUUUAAA
Molecule: RNA transcript, 1618 nt
Organism: Gossypium arboreum
Lineage: Eukaryota; Viridiplantae; Streptophyta; Magnoliopsida; Malvales; Malvaceae
Gene name: probable sugar phosphate/phosphate translocator At3g14410
Exons: 8
Source: RefSeq, a predicted model, not a curated record